This 3450-nucleotide long non-coding RNA is filed under the name Olea europaea subsp. europaea. Lineage: Eukaryota; Viridiplantae; Streptophyta; Magnoliopsida; Lamiales; Oleaceae. The record is from RNAcentral.
UAAAAAGAUUUUAGUUCACAAAAAAAUGGAAAACCUAAAGAUAAAUGUCCUGUACGCCUCUGCCUCCUGUCUUCCAUUGCACCACUCCUCGCACAAGAUGAAAAAAUGGAAUCAAAUGCAGCAGAACAAAUAUUGCUUCCAAAUGGGUUGAUGAUGAUCUGGUGGUUCAGAUCUGUUCGAUUUAGGAGCUUCUGCAAUCAAGGGAGGAGGAUUUCGUAUCAUUAGUAGCCAACAUGCUUUAUGAUUCUACGUGGUCCUGGAUACAGAUUAAAAAACUUCAUUCUGGGUAAGUUAUCUACUUCACUAACAUCUUUUAUCAUAUUACCCUAAAUCUCUACGUCUGAAAUCUUCGUUCUUCAUCUUCGUUCAUCCGCAUCCGAGUCUUUGUUUACUAACAAAAUUUCUUGGAUAUGAAAUUGUGGUAGUUUGAACUGUUUCUGAAUUUUUGGGUUUCUGACCUUUUGGGCAUUCUCAAUCUGUAACUUCGUACGCACCGUGGCAUUUUGUGCUAAAAUAUAUCAUAUCAUACACAUAAAGAGAAUUUUACUGUACACCUUAAAUUCACCUUGAGUUAUGAGUGCACAACUUGGUUGGCACUAUAUCGGGUGUCAUUAAUGACUAAACACAUUGAAUCUUGAUGCUUAGAUUGCAAGCAAAUAAAUAUUUUAUUUCUUAUCAGUGUCUCUCUUUUCCACGCAAUGUCUCUGCUACAUAAUCUCUUAGUAGGGGUCUCUUAAAUUUAGUAAAAAUGGAUAAUUAGGUUGAAGUUAAAAAAAUGCAUUUGAUUUUAUGGGUUCCAAUUCCGUGAAAAUUGUGGAAGUGUCCGGCCGUUUACCUUAUAUCGGUGAUUUAAGACCAGCAUUUCUGUUUAAUUACAAACUACUAGUGCUCUGUAAAACCAAAGACAGCAUAGAUUUAUGUAAAAUCCGCAUCAAUAGUUUAAUUUGAAUAACGGGUUAACUUGAAGGAUUACCAUAUUAACUCAACUCUGCAUGCAGUAUCUAAUUGCUAUGAUGCUACCAAAAAUUGUACAUGAUGAUUUUCGGAGCUUGAGGACUUUGAAUGAGCACGAUCUUAGUCUUCCGGUACUUGAAACAAAGGCGAAAAGUUGCGUGCUCGUUGUCCCUCCAAUGCUUAAGUCAAAAAGGGAAUUUAUGCGUGAGACUAUAAACUGGAAAAAUAAUGAAAACGUACCUGUACAAUGGUCUCAUGCCUCAUAUUUAUAGGGGUAGGUAGUACAUUCCUGAUAGAAUUGGAAUUGGGUGACUUAUUACAAAGAUGCCUUUUGAAGAUUCAUAAGACCUUAUACCAUAUUUUUCUUUUUGCUGCUAACUUAUUUUACUCAAUGGUUUGUUGACAGUUAGACCUUUAAUUAAGGACCCAAAUUUGAUAAGAUGGACAUUAUUUUUGUAGGCAUUUUCUGGACUUAUUGCUCUUAUAUGAGGACAUGGUUAUAUAGUAUGCAUCAAUCAAAUAUAUGAUCUUGAGAUUGACAAGUAAGACACAGGGCCGGUCCUGUGAUAAUGGAGGCCCGAGGCGAGGUUUGUAAAUUGGGCCCCCGGACGAAAUCAACGUAAAAAUUUACGUAAAAAUCUAAUAACAUUUUCAAUUAUGUACGCAAAAAUUUGAGCAUUACAAGUUUACGAAAACAAUACAAAAUUAAAAUAACAUCCAAAAUCCAAAACUAUCCCCAUAAAAAAAAAAAUAAAAAAAAAAAUUUUGAAGCAAAAUUGGGCCCCCUAAGGGUUUUGGGCCUGAGGCUGAGGCCUCAAAUGCCUCAGCCCAGGACCGGCCCUGGUAAGACACACAUACGCGUGCAUAUAUAUAAGAAUAUCUCUACUGUCUUUCUAGGGAGGUCCUCAAGAGUAACAAUGUUUAACACUUGUUUUCUUUCUAUUUCUUGGAUACAUCCAUCUCACUGUUUUGCCCUAGCUUUGACAUAGGGUAAACAGGCUAUAUUUACCCGUAGCUACAGGAGAUCUUUCAGAGCAAUAUGCAUGGUUCAUGGUGUUACUGCUUGCUAUUAUUAGCCUUUUAAUUGUUGGGAUGAACUUUGGUCCUUUUAUAACUGGUCUUCAUUGCCUCGGUCUUUUACUUGGCACCUUCUAUUAAUUAUUGGGAUGAACAAUUUCUUCUCCAUGCUGCAUACAUAUUCUUUUUGUUUUCUUCUAAAUGGUUCAUUCUUAUUAAUUUAUCAGGCGUAGACUACUGCAUCAAGAAACAACUUUGCAAGUAUUCUGGGUAUUAUUUGUAAUUCUAAAUAAUUGGCAUAUGCUUUUCCUUAUUCAAGACAUUCCAGAUAAUAAUGCGAAUGAAACUAGUUUCUUCAAGUGAGAGGAUUCCUUAUAAAUUAUGGUGUGUAUUUUGCCACGAGAGCUGCUGUGGGUCUAUCAUUCGAGUUGAGGUAAAUUCAUAUUUAAUAUCCGUUCUUAUAGCACAGAUUUAUUCAGUUGAAUUGUAAUUAGCCAGAUUGAAACCAGUAGAAGUUAGCUUGAAUGGUACUCAUUUUUUAUUAAUAUCUAGAUAUAGAUAUAACUCCAAAAUAAGGUUUUUGAAUAUGGUAAAUGUUAGUUCAAGGAGUGUAUGCUUCAAGUUGCCGUCUGAAACAUUUAAAAAUCUAUUAUAGUAAAUUGCUUUAUGGAUAUUGUACCCAGUUAAUUUAGUCAUUGUCAUACCCUUGUUUUCUCCUGCAGCUCACCUGUGGCUAUUUAUUACAGCUUGUCACUUUAUUUACGCUUGUCACCUAUGGAUAUUGUCCAAGUUAAUUGUAGUAAAUAUCUUGCAGAUGUAGAGGGUGAUCGAAAAUAAGUUUUAAAACCAAAAAUUUGCAUGAAUUGCUCUAGUUUAUUUUUCCCACGAAAGGUUUUUAUUAAUAAUAUUAUAUUACUGCCAUUUCCUUACAUUUUCACUUGUGCUUGUUGAAUUUUGAGUCUUUGAAAGAAGCCAUAUCUUUUCUUGAAAUGCAAUCCUAUCUUACACGCCUCAGGUGAUGUGCAUUCUCUCAUGAUCUAACUUAAUUAACCUACUUUCCAUUAAUAUGUCUUUAUCUACAUUGGUUCAAUACUGGUUUGAAUUUUCAUGCCUCGGAUGAUGUGCAUCAUCUCAAGAUCCAACUUAACCUUCUUUCCAUUGAUACGUCCUUAUCUACCUGCCAUGAUAUAGCACUCAUAUAUGGAAUAUAUUACAGGCAUUCAAGAGAAGCUUGAUGGUAUUUGCACCUCUCAUCUUGACAGCGAGUUCAAUUUUCCCAGUAAAUUUCUUUUAUUUAUUUCAUGAUGUUCACCAGAUCUCUAGUUGGACUGUAAUUAGCUUAUUCCUAUUCCAGCGAAACUCGAUUGUCUUUAUUUUCUCUUCUCGUUACGAUUUUCUGCCCUGUUUUGUCUUAUUCUACUUGAAUUUAUUAAGAAUAAAAUAGUAAGCACUUGUGAUUUCAAUUAUGUUGGUUCGUCA